UUUAUAAUUAAAUACAUCUAUUGUAUAUAAAUGUUAAUAAAUUAUUGAUACAGUAAUAGCAGUAUAAUUAAUUUACUAUGCUGAAUAACAUAACCAAAGCUUUUGUUGACGUGGUACUACCGGUACUUUGUAAUGCAAAAUCAACAAAAUUACAUGAGAUACCUAUACGUCAUUUUUACACGAAUGAGUUAAAGAGACGACUGAAGGCAGAACAAAAAUUAAAAGAGAAAACAGAGAAAGAAGCAAAAGUAUGUGCUGUCGCAGCAGCAAAACCACAAGCCAAAACUAUAGAGAAAAAGGAUGAUGAAGAGACUAUUAGCCCAAAUGAAUAUAUUAAACUUAGGACACAAGCAAUCAAUCACCUGAAAAAUAUAAAUGAAAAUCCAUAUCCACACAAGUUUCACGUAUCAAUGUCUAUGGAAAAUUUUAUUGAAAAAUUUAGCAACACCAUAAAGAAUGGAGAAGUAUUACAGAAUGAAGUACAUAGCAUUGCUGGUCGUGUGUUUGCAAUUAGAGAGUCUGGUGCUAAACUUAUUUUUUAUGACCUCAGAGGAGAAGGCCUUAAAGUUCAAGUCAUGGCAAAUGCAAGACAUUACAGCAAUGAAGAAAAGUUUGCCAUUGAUAUUGCUAAAAUAAGAAGAGGUGAUAUUAUCGGGGUUGUUGGAAAUCCUGGAAAAACUAAGAAGGGUGAAUUCUCUAUUAUGCCUCGUGAUAUUACCCUUUUAAGUCCUAGCCUGCAUAUGUUGCCAACGCUUUAUUUUGGAUUACACGACAAGGAGACAAGAUUUCGUCAGCGCUAUUUAGAUCUUAUUCUAAACGACAAAGUGAGACAAACAUUUCACAUACGAGCGAAAAUAAUCGCAUACGUUCGCAAAUUUCUUGAUGAACUUGGUUUUUUAGAAGUUGAAACACCAAUGAUGAAUAUGAUUGCUGGUGGAGCUACGGCUAAACCUUUUAUCACGCACCAUAAUGAAUUAAAUAUGGAUUUGUAUAUGCGUAUUGCUCCAGAAUUAUAUCUAAAGAUGUUGGUGGUUGGCGGAAUGGAUAGAGUAUAUGAAAUUGGAAGGCAGUUCAGAAACGAAGGAAUAGAUUUAACACAUAACCCAGAGUUUACUACUUGUGAAUUUUAUAUGGCAUAUGCGGAUUAUAAUGACUUAAUGUCUAUUACUGAAGAUAUGGUAUCUGGAAUGGUGAAAACCAUACAUGGUAGUUAUAAAAUAACCUAUCAUCCAGAUGGACCAGAGGGUGAAGCAGUGGAGAUUGAUUUUACUCCUCCGUUUAAACGAAUUUCGAUGAUGAAAACCUUAGAGGAGAUGUUGAAAGUUAAAUUACCUCAAGCAGACCAAUUAAACACGCCUGAAGCAAAUCAGAUACUUAGCGAUAUAUGUACUAAACAUGAAGUUGAAUGUCCUCCCCCAAGAACAGCAGCUAGAUUGCUAGACAAGCUUGUUGGCGAAUUUAUAGAAGAAACUUGUAUUAAUCCUACAUUUAUCUUGGAUCAUCCGCAAAUUAUGUCGCCGUUAGCGAAGUGGCAUCGUUCGGAGAAAGGUUUGACGGAACGGUUUGAGUUAUUUAUCAUGAAGAAGGAAGUCUGUAACGCAUAUACAGAGUUGAAUGAUCCUAUAGUACAAAGGGAUAGAUUUGAACAACAAGCAAAGGAUAAAGCAGCCGGGGAUGACGAAGCACAGUUAGUUGACGAGAACUUUUGUACUGCUUUAGAAUAUGGUUUACCGCCAACCGCUGGGUGGGGAAUGGGUAUUGAUCGUGUUACUAUGUUCCUCACAGAUGCAAAUAAUAUAAAGGAGGUGUUACUAUUCCCACAAAUGAGACCAGAUGAUCCAAAUAAAAGCAAAGAAGUAGUUGAAGAUAAUAAAACAUCUAAUAAUAGUAAUUUAAGUGAAGUCAACAAAUAAAAACUGAUACUGUGUUCCUUUCCACAGUGUGCAAAUCAUUCUUUGGAAACAUGUUUUAAAUGGAACACACGAGGAAAGUAUUACCAUAUAUUUACACAGACACACAAUACCUUUAUUACAAUCACUCAAUUUACAUACAAUAAUUAAAUAUAUAUUAUCCAAAAAAAAAAACACAAUAAAACAUAAAUUAUACUUAAAUAUAUAUUUACAUCAAAAUAUUAUUAAGCAAGCAAGUACUGAACAAUAAUAUGUACUUGCAAUUUACUGGCAGCUUCUUCAUAUUGUCAAAUAUUUAGGUGAUAAAUAAAUAAAAUUUUGUGAUAUAA
RNA transcript from Osmia bicornis bicornis, 2239 nucleotides. It is a transcript of the gene named lysine--tRNA ligase, with no coding region annotated. NCBI's taxonomy places the organism in Eukaryota, Metazoa, Arthropoda, Insecta, Hymenoptera, Megachilidae. The record is from RefSeq and is a predicted model, not a curated record. The transcript is spliced from 9 exons.